GACGAACGCUGGCGGCGUGCUUAACACAUGCAAGUCGAACGGAAAGGCCCUGCUUUUGUGGGGUGCUCGAGUGGCGAACGGGUGAGUAACACGUGAGUAACCUGCCCUUGACUUUGGGAUAACUUCAGGAAACUGGGGCUAAUACCGGAUAGGAGCUCCUGCUGCAUGGUGGGGGUUGGAAAGUUUCGGCGGUUGGGGAUGGACUCGCGGCUUAUCAGCUUGUUGGUGGGGUAGUGGCUUACCAAGGCUUUGACGGGUAGCCGGCCUGAGAGGGUGACCGGCCACAUUGGGACUGAAAUACGGCCCAGACUACUACGGGAGGCAGCAGUGGGGAAUAUUGCACAAUGGGCGGAAGCCUGAUGCAGCAACGCCGCGUGCGGGAUGACGGCCUUCGGGUUGUAAACCGCUUUCGCCUGUGACGAAGCGUGAGUGACGGUAAUGGGUAAAGAAGCACCGGCUAACUACGUG
RNAcentral lists this ribosomal RNA (468 nucleotides) under uncultured bacterium. Its description in RNAcentral is "partial 16S ribosomal RNA". It matches the Rfam family "Bacterial small subunit ribosomal RNA", at positions 28 to 507 of the family's 1533-position model. The record is from RNAcentral.